Molecule: ribosomal RNA, 270 nt
Filed under: uncultured bacterium
Lineage: Bacteria
Description: partial 16S ribosomal RNA
Rfam family: Bacterial small subunit ribosomal RNA
Source: RNAcentral
CCUACGGGGGGCAGCAGUGGGGGAUAUUGCACAAUGGGGGAAACCCUGAUGCAGCGACGCCGCGUGAGCGAUGAAGUAUUUCGGUAUGUAAAGCUCUAUCAGCAGGGAAGAAAAUGACGGUACCUGACUAAGAAGCCCCGGCUAACUACGUGCCAGCAGCCGCGGUAAUACGUAGGGGGCAAGCGCUAUCCGGAUUUACUGGGUGUAAAGGGAGCGUAGACGGCAUAGCAAGUCUGAAGUGAAAGCCCAAGGCUCAACCAUGGGACUGCU